RNAcentral lists this unclassified non-coding RNA (331 nucleotides) under Hevea brasiliensis (rubber tree). The record is from RNAcentral. Lineage: Eukaryota; Viridiplantae; Streptophyta; Magnoliopsida; Malpighiales; Euphorbiaceae.
GAAGAAGAGGAGAAAAAAGAGAGGAAAGAAUAAGGACAAAAGGGGGGAGAGUGAGAGAAAGAGAAAGGUUGACCAUACCUUACUAGGAGAGACUGUUGGUUUUUGCGAGAAAGAGAAAGAGAGAAGCUAUUGUGAGAAUGAGAGAGAGGUCUUUUUUGAUAGUGAGAGAGAACCAGUGUGAGUGCGUGACAAAAUAAAAGUGGUGACUUAGGGUUCUUAAUUUGUUGUGUAAAAAAAUUAAAAGAGGAAAAAAAAUAGCAUUACCUUCACUGAAGUGUCACUUCAGCGCCUUGUCGCUCAGCGCCUCUCUCGCUAGGGCGGCCACCACCUA